GGAGUGGCUGUGGCUCAAUGGAAGAGUAUCUGCUUGGCAUACAGAAGGUCUUAGGUUCAAACCCUGACAUCUCCA
RNAcentral lists this transfer RNA (75 nucleotides) under Sphaerodactylus townsendi. RNAcentral's name for it is "tRNA-Ala". It matches the Rfam family "tRNA". Rfam says of the family: Transfer RNA (tRNA) molecules are approximately 80 nucleotides in length. Their secondary structure includes four short double-helical elements and three loops (D, anti-codon, and T loops). Further hydrogen bonds mediate the characteristic L-shaped molecular structure. tRNAs have two regions of fundamental functional importance: the anti-codon, which is responsible for specific mRNA codon recognition, and the 3' end, to which the tRNAs corresponding amino acid is attached (by aminoacyl-tRNA synthetases). tRNAs cope with the degeneracy of the genetic code in two manners: having more than one tRNA (with a specific anti-codon) for a particular amino acid; and 'wobble' base-pairing, i.e. permitting non-standard base-pairing at the 3rd anti-codon position. Lineage: Eukaryota; Metazoa; Chordata; Lepidosauria; Squamata; Sphaerodactylidae. The record is from RNAcentral.